Manis pentadactyla (Chinese pangolin) is the source of this 826-nucleotide long non-coding RNA. RefSeq lists it as uncharacterized. The transcript is spliced from 2 exons. NCBI's taxonomy places the organism in Eukaryota, Metazoa, Chordata, Mammalia, Pholidota, Manidae. The record is from RefSeq and is a predicted model, not a curated record.
CAGGCUGACCCUCCACGGUUAGAGGAACGCAUGCGCUCUUCGGAGGCCACGGAGCCGCAGAGCAGACCGUGGCCCCAGCUGCAAAGCUGGGAAUGAAAGAACCUUUUCACUCCCUGCUUCCUCCCUCCCCCACGCCAGGCAGGGCACCAGCAGGAGCCCCCUCGGGCCUUCUGGGACACAUUCUUCAGUUCUGGAAGGAAAUUACAAGCGACUGGCCCACAGAGGAUUACUCUUGAAGUAAAGAUAUUAAGACGUGGAUCACCCUGAGGUAAAGCACGUCAACCCAGCGCCUAUGUGUUUUCAUGUCUGGGCACAGAGAUCUUCCGUAAUACCUUGGGUUUGAACACUCCGAACCAGGGCCCAGGCAGUCUUCAUAACUGAGAGAGUUAUGGUUCCAAAUGAAAAUGAAAACUCAGAGCUAACAAGAAAAGCAGUGGUGAAAUCAUAGCAGAAUUUGGAGACAAAUUAUAUUACAUGCCAUCAUAUGACUAAGGUGUCUACUAAUACUGUGAUAGAUCAAUACCUAUUACCCUGAAGACUAUAAAACUACAAUGUCCGAUAAACUCUCCACUGCUAUACUCCUAACAAUUCUAUUAUUUUUUACCUAGUACAGCUUCUGCGAUAGUUUUAAGUGACUAAAUGAAUACAAGUUUUUUUUGUUCUCCCUUAGGCCUUUUGCUCUUUAAAGUCUUAAUAAUUAACAUUGAAGGGGACAAGAUGUUGACUCUUGGGAGAAAAAAAGAUGGGAGUUGAAUGAUCUUGGAAGCAAAUCCAAAGCUGAUUUUAUGUAGAGAAAAAUAGAGUAUUAAAGAAAAAUUCUGCAAUU